GUGGGGAAUAUUGGGCAAUGGGGGCAACCCUGACCCAGCAACGCCGCGUGAGGGAAGAAGGUUUUCGGAUUGUAAACCUCUGUCCUAUGGGAAGAAGGAAGUGACGGUACCAUAGGAGGAAGCCCCGGCUAACUACGUGCCAGCAGCCGCGGUAAUACGUAGGGGGCGAGCGUUGUCCGGAAUUACUGGUCGUCAAGGGUGCGCAGGUGGCCUGACAAGUCAGAUGUGAAAUACCGAUGCUUAACGUCGGGGCUGCAUUUGAAACUAUGAGGCUGGAGUGCAGGAGAGGGAAGCGGAAUUCCUAGUGUAGCGGUGAAAUGCAUAGAUAUUAGGAGGAACACCAGUGGCGAAGGCGGCUUUCUGGACUGUAACUGACACUGAGGCACGAAAGCGUGGGGAGCAAACAGGAUUAGAAACCCUAGUAGUCC
This 428-nucleotide ribosomal RNA is filed under the name uncultured bacterium. RNAcentral's name for it is "partial 16S ribosomal RNA". It matches the Rfam family "Bacterial small subunit ribosomal RNA", at positions 354 to 796 of the family's 1533-position model. The record is from RNAcentral.